RNAcentral lists this ribosomal RNA (429 nucleotides) under Pseudomonadota bacterium. RNAcentral's name for it is "Proteobacteria bacterium partial 16S ribosomal RNA". It matches the Rfam family "Bacterial small subunit ribosomal RNA", at positions 355 to 776 of the family's 1533-position model. Lineage: Bacteria; Pseudomonadati; Pseudomonadota. The record is from RNAcentral.
UGGGGAAUAUUGGACAAUGGGCGAAAGCCUGAUCCAGCCAUGCCGCGUGUGUGAAGAAGGUCUUCGGAUUGUAAAGCACUUUAAGUUGGGAGGAAGGGCAGUAAGCGAAUACCUUGCUGUUUUGACGUUACUGACAGAAUAAGCCCCGGCUAACUCUGUGCCAGCAGCCGCGGUAAUACAGAGGGUGCAAGCGUUAAUCGGAAUUACUGGGCGUAAAGCGCGCGUAGGUGGUUCGUUAAGUUGAAUGUGAAAGCCCCGGGCUCAACCUGGGAAAUGCAUCCAAAACUGGCGAGCUAGAGUAGGGGAGAGGGUGGUGGAAUUUCCUGUGUAGCGGUGAAAUGCGUAGAUAUAGGAAGGAACAACAGUGGCGAAGGCGACCACCUGGGCUCAUACUGACACUGAGGUGCGAAAGCGUGGGGAGCAAACAGG